GUCCCGUUCAUCUAUUGGCUAAGAUACCGGCCUUUCAAGCCGGCAAAGAGGGAUCGAAACCCUCACGGGACACCA
RNAcentral lists this transfer RNA (75 nucleotides) under Candidatus Thiodiazotropha sp. RNAcentral describes it as "tRNA-Glu". It matches the Rfam family "tRNA". From Rfam's summary of the family: Transfer RNA (tRNA) molecules are approximately 80 nucleotides in length. Their secondary structure includes four short double-helical elements and three loops (D, anti-codon, and T loops). The record is from RNAcentral. Lineage: Bacteria; Pseudomonadati; Pseudomonadota; Gammaproteobacteria; Chromatiales; Sedimenticolaceae.